GUCAGGAUAGCUCAGUUGGUAGAG
RNAcentral lists this transfer RNA (24 nucleotides) under Calamagrostis neglecta. RNAcentral's name for it is "partial tRNA-Phe". The record is from RNAcentral. Lineage: Eukaryota; Viridiplantae; Streptophyta; Magnoliopsida; Poales; Poaceae.